Molecule: ribosomal RNA, 884 nt
Filed under: marine metagenome
Description: bacterial SSU rRNA
Rfam family: Bacterial small subunit ribosomal RNA
Source: RNAcentral
UCUACGGGAGGCAGCAGUGAGGAAUAUUGGACAAUGGACGAAAGUCUGAUCCAGCUAUGCCGCGUGCAGGAUGACAGCCCUACGGGUUGUAAACUGCUUUUAUACAGGAAGAAAAAUCCCGACGUGUCGGGGCUUGACGGUACUGUAAGAAUAAGGAUCGGCUAACUCCGUGCCAGCAGCCGCGGUAAUACGGAGGAUCCAAGCGUUAUCCGGAAUUAUUGGGUUUAAAGGGUCCGCAGGCGGUUUUUUAAGUCAGAGGUGAAAUCCUACAGCUCAACUGUAGAAUUGCCUUUGAAACUGAAAGACUUGAGUUAUUGUGAAGUGGUUAGAAUGUGUGGUGUAGCGGUGAAAUGCAUAGAUAUCACACAGAAUACCAAUUGCGAAGGCAGAUCACUAACAAUUAACUGACGCUCAGGGACGAAAGCGUGGGUAGCGAACAGGAUUAGAUACCCUGGUAGUCCACGCCGUAAACGAUGGAUACUAGCUGUAUGUCUACCUCAGGUAGAUGUGUGGCCAAGCGAAAGUGAUAAGUAUCCCACCUGGGGAGUACGAUCGCAAGAUUGAAACUCAAAGGAAUUGACGGGGGCCCGCACAAGCGGUGGAGCAUGUGGUUUAAUUCGAUGAUACGCGAGGAACCUUACCAGGGCUUAAAUGUAACGGGACAGGUCUAGAGAUAGACCCUUCUUCGGACUCAUUACAAGGUGCUGCAUGGUUGUCGUCAGCUCGUGCCGUGAGGUGUCAGGUUAAGUCCUAUAACGAGCGCAACCCCCAUCGUUAGUUGCCAACGAGUAAUGUCGGGAACUCUAACGAAACUGCCGGUGCAAACCGUGAGGAAGGUGGGGAUGACGUCAAAUCAUCACGGCCCUUACGUCCUGGGCUACACA